This 72-nucleotide transfer RNA is filed under the name Ovis aries (sheep). It matches the Rfam family "tRNA". From Rfam's summary of the family: Transfer RNA (tRNA) molecules are approximately 80 nucleotides in length. Their secondary structure includes four short double-helical elements and three loops (D, anti-codon, and T loops). The record is from Rfam by way of RNAcentral. Lineage: Eukaryota; Metazoa; Chordata; Mammalia; Artiodactyla; Bovidae.
UCCUGUGUAGCUUAGUCGGUAGAGCAUCUGCCUGCAAUGCAGGACACCUGGGUUCAAUUUCUGGGUCGGGAA